Amborella trichopoda is the source of this 2313-nucleotide RNA transcript. It is a transcript of the gene named protein MAINTENANCE OF MERISTEMS-like, with no coding region annotated. Lineage: Eukaryota; Viridiplantae; Streptophyta; Magnoliopsida; Amborellales; Amborellaceae. The record is from RefSeq and is a predicted model, not a curated record.
CUCUCAAGGUUUUUCCAUAUGAAUGAAAUGUGUUGAAUUAAAGGAAAAGUGUAUGUAAAAGUAGUACUUUCUACUUUCUAGUUCCCCACAUGUUUUGAGUGCAUGCAUCCCUCCUAUGUGCUCUGUAUGAGUGCAUUUGUAUAUGUUUUUUUGUAGUGUAGUUGGAUGUGUUUGUAGUUUUUUGGGAUUAAACUAACAAUAUUUUUUAUUUCAUUCGUUUUCCUUGUUGUCUUAUACCAUGUGACUUGAUUCAUGAGCUAUUAUUUGAUCAAUUUAUCUAGGAAAUGGUUCCUUGUUUGUUUUUGCUUCCUAUCUAUAGUUAAAGGAAUUUGCAUACACAUAGGCUCUUUAUUGAUUGCUGAUUUGGGUUGGAAGGACAUAUGGCUUGUGGCCCAAUGAUUUGGCACCAACCAUCCUAUUGUUGAUAGACUUCUUAUUUUUUAUAGUCUUCUUAUUGUUGCAUCCAAAUUUGGCAUCAACCAUCCUAUUAUUGUUGAUAUACUUUUUAUUGUUGCAUCAAGAUUUGGCAUCAACCAUCAUAUCCUCUUAAUUGAUGUGAUGUGCACAUAUAAAACUCUAAUAAUAUAAAUAGAUUUAAUGAUGCAAGACCCGAAACUGUUAAGAAGAACAAGGGACCCAUCCACUUUGUUCGAUCAAAUGGAAAAGGUACGAUAGUCUAUUUACUAUACUCCAUGAUUUACAUUUAUUAGAUAACUCUUAUAUUGUUUAUAACUAAUAUAUGUCAUUUCUUAUUGAACUUCAUUUCAGAUAAAAAAAUGUCCAUAUUAAUGAAUCAACUAAAACCUUAAGAAAAUGGGACCUAGAUCAAUGACAAGUACCUUUGGUCGAGAAGACCAAAUUGAGCUCAUUAAUUAACAUUAGAGUCUCUAGUAUCGAUCGUAGUUUAUUGAGGGCCUUCAUGGGGAAAUGGUGCAAGGUGACAACUAUUGCACAUUUGACUGUUAGUGAGAUGACUCUAACCUUGUACGAUGUGUGACAUAUAUUGAGGAUACCUAUGACAGGAGAGCCUGUAACCGGCAUCAGACCUACAGACUACAAGGUUUUUCUCAUGGAGUAUUUAGGAGAUUGCCCUAAAGGUGAUAGCUUAUUUCGUCUUAAGCAUACUUGGUUGAGGACGAAAUUUGGACAACUAUAAAAAAAACCUUCCAAAUUAAAACUCCUUCAACACACUCGAGCAUAUCUGCUAUAUUUGGUAGGCACAACGAUAUUUGCCGACGCAUCUCAAGGGUCAACGCUUACAAGUUACGUACAACUGUUUCGAGAUCUCGAGGAGGCUAGGAAGUACGCAUGGGGUGCAACAACACUUGCCUUCCUAUAUCGUUCAUUGUCUAAAGUCAUGCAUGGGGAUACGCAUUUUAGUGGGUCAACAAUACUACUACAGUGUUGGAUCUAUGAACAUUUCCCAGCUAUAGGCACCAAACCUAAAACUAUCACCAUAGAAAUGCCUAGAGCUUGCAAGUAGUAUUAUAUGCCGGAUCGUUUGCUGCGGCAAUUUGGAAAGUCACAAGUUAUUCCCGUGGGGCCUCCUAAGUGGGCGAGGAGGGAGAAGGGGGGUCUACACCCCACUACUUGGAGUGAUGAGUUAGCUAGCGAGAUAAGCGACUGGCGGCAACGAGAACGCAAUGUUGUCAAGGCAGCCACAGAUAAAUAUAGUGGAAUGCCUACAAAGGAUUAUAUGGCCUGGUAUAACAUGUUCACUCAUAGAUAUGGAAAUACUCCCUUGUGCCCCCCUUCACAGUCGCAAUCAAAUACCCUCCCCCCUCGCAGGCCAUGAUGACGAGAGGAUAUUGCGAUUAACCUGUAUAGGGAUGCUACAAGCUGCACUUGGUGGUGAAGUAUUAGUAGGGGAAUAGAGAGGUUUAGUACAGGCGACCCACGAUUUGUUAGUGCAGAACAUUCUUAUUGAUCAUGCCGAGGAGAUGGUGGAUGUGAGGGCGAGGAUACAAAUGGUGGGGAUGACGACAACGAGAGCGAGGAGACAAAUGGUGGGGAUGACGACAACGAGAGCGAGACUGAUGAGAAAUGCAAGACUGAAGAGAGAGAUGGUGGAGAUGAGAAAAGAGAGAGCGAGAUUGAUGAGGAAGAUGAGAGGAGAACGAAGAGCAAAAAUGAUAAGGAAAGAGAGAUCGAGAUUGAUGAGGAAAAUGAAAGGAGAACAAAGAGCAAAAAUGAUAAGGGUAAGGGUAUUGCAAGUUGGCCAAUGGUUGAGGUCAAGAAAGUGAAAGCCGAUGUAUUUUUUUGGAACAAAUGUAAAUUUAAAAGUAUGAAGCUCUUUUGAGACAUAAGUUGAGU